GAUAAACGCUGGCGGCGCACAUAGGACAUGCAAGUCGAACGAACCAAAUACAUUGUUUACAUUGUAAGAGGUUAGUGGCGGACUGGUGAGUAACACGUAAGCAACCUGCCUACAAGAGGGGAAUAACAUUGAGAAAUCAAUGCUAAUACCGUAUAAGCUGUUAAUAUUGCAUGAUAUAUACAGAAAAGGAGUAAUCCGCUUGUAGAUGGGCUUGCGUCUGAUUAGCUAGUUGGUAGGGUAGAGGCCUACCAAGGCGACGAUCAGUAGCCGGACUGAGAGGUUGAACGGCCACAUUGGGACUGAGAUACGGCCCAGACUCCUACGGGAGGCAGCAGUCGGGAAUAUUGCGCAAUGGAGGGAACUCUGACGCAGUGACGCCGCGUAUAGGAA
Molecule: ribosomal RNA, 390 nt
Filed under: uncultured bacterium
Lineage: Bacteria
Description: bacterial SSU rRNA
Rfam family: Bacterial small subunit ribosomal RNA
Source: RNAcentral